CCCUCCAUCUAGCACUGUGCCUCCAGGAGAGAGGGUUUUUUUCUGGUCGCCCCUGCAGACAUGACCCUGCUUGUCCCUGGCCAAUCCCAGGGCCAGACUGGAUUGUUGGCCCUCUGACUCACCCUAGAAGGCCUGGGGCUGGAGAGGCCUGGAACUCCUCGGAGAAGCCAAAGAUUUUGCAGAAUCAAGGAUGGAUGGAGUAUCAAAAUAAGGAACGGAAAAAACUGAAGAUAUACUAAGGAUUAAGGCCCAGGUUCAUCUAGUGUCCCCAGGUGCCAGGCAUUGUGCUGUGACUGUGAUGUGAAAAAAGAGGCCAGGACAACUGGACAAAGCUAGAGCUUUAGCUGUACAAACCUUAUCCUGUGACCCGGAGGGCAUUUCUUCUAGAGUCUCGGUGCUUCCCAGAUUGGAGAGCUGAGUGCU
RNAcentral lists this long non-coding RNA (423 nucleotides) under Homo sapiens (human). Its description in RNAcentral is "LHRI_LNC825.2". The record is from RNAcentral. Lineage: Eukaryota; Metazoa; Chordata; Mammalia; Primates; Hominidae.